Molecule: long non-coding RNA, 2680 nt
Filed under: Mus spretus (western wild mouse)
Lineage: Eukaryota; Metazoa; Chordata; Mammalia; Rodentia; Muridae
Description: lncRNA (ENSMSPG00010010210.1)
Source: RNAcentral
AACUGUGCAUCUCGAACCUCUAUGGGCCAGACCUUGUUCAAGUUUCUUGCAAUGGGAAGACAUGUGUGUUGUAACUUCCCCCUUCCAGGGGUCUGCAGACUCUGGCCGAAGACCAUCAAAGUUCAGACUCUUGGCCUCUACCCCUCUUGCUACUUUCUCAUUGCUCAGUUUUCCCACAGGGGUUUUGUACCUAGAAGGCUUUUUUCCCCCUUUCUUUUCUUUAAUUGUCAGGCUUUAUAGCACUACUGCACCUGGUCAGGAAAUUCCCUGCAGCCUGCCUUCUGACUUAGAGAACCUCCAAUGUCACCAGUCACUCACACCUGCUCCCUUCCCCAACAAAAGGUUCUUCAGUGUGUCCAUUUCUCUCCGGGAUGAACUGGAUCAUGAAGGAAGGGACAACAGAUGGCAGUGUGACUUCUUCAAAGAUCGUCACCCCUUUGGAAAUGCAGUCUCCCCUUCCCCCAAUGUCACUGAAUCUCUUAGUGUUGUUGGCAUGAGAUCCAACUUAUGGGCCCCUCUCCACCAUGAUGGCAACCUUCCUCCAACAUGCCACACUGAACUGUGGGGUACUACAGUGCAUUGCUCGGACAGGAGAAAUGAGCAGAGGUUGCAUAGACCGUCUUUUUCCCCAGAUGUUGAGAGCUGCUGUUUUUUCUUCUUCUGAGGAAAUAUUCUCUAUUUUUAUUCUAGUCUUUGGGAAAAAAAUGAAACAAGAGACAAGAGGGGAUGAGAACUUGUCCUCGCUGGGUGCAGGGGCCAUUGCAUACUUUUUUUGUUGUUGUUAUAAAUUCAGAAUACUCUGGAUACCUGCACACAGCAAGAGGUGCCCAUGCGUUUGCCAAAAUAAACACAAUUCUGCCCUGGGUUGUGUUUUUCAACACUGUGAAAAGGUGCCGAUUUUUAAAACUGAAUUUUAAACGUUAUAACCACACCCGAUGGCUUGUCCUUCCUGCUGCCUCAGCAGGGACCACUUUUUAAGCAGCCAUCCUUGAGUAGCGAGGCCUGGUGAGCAGGCACUACCUUCACUUUGUUCUAAGGGAGAUCAGGGAAGGGGGUGGGGGAUUAUGGGAAGGGGCUGUGGAGCUCUGAAAGUGAGCCAGAACCCUUGCACCCCAGGGCAACUCACAGCAAUCAGAGCAGGAAUUUCUGUGGUGAUUUUGCACACACGACUCUCAUGCCUAAUCCUUGGUGCUUCUGCACCUGUGUCCCAUAUGUUCAUCCUGAACUUAGCUUCCAGCUGGAACUCGCUCAGGAACGACCUGUGACAUUUUCACUUUCGCACAUGGAGCAGGCCAGCGAGUCCUCGGAUGGCACGCCUUUGCUUUGCCACCACUUCAUGCCCUGUUGUCAUUUUACAGGGUAGGUAGAAAGGGGCCCCUGAGGUAAUCCCAGUGGGUCCCAGUGAGUGGAAAGAGCCAAUGUAAAGACAGAGGCCAAUUGUUGUAAAAGGUCAUAGCUGCUUUCACCAGUUGUAGUAGGACCGGUGGAAAGGUACCACAGCAAUGAAAAUGAGGUAUCUCAAGAGGUGGGAACAGGCACCCUGCGUCCCAUAGCCUGUUCAGAUUUGCAACCAGUCUUAAUGCUGAAGGAGGUAGGCCUGGGGGCUGGAGAGUGUGUUUGCUUUGGCUGAAGGAGACAUUUUAAAAACAGGCUAAAAAUAGGGAGAACAGGAAGGCACCCAUGCCUUUAUCAAAGGAAAGUAUGCCGGUUACUAAUAUUGAGCGCCGCAUUCUUCCAGACUAAUGGAAGUUAAUGGAAACAUUGCUCCUCCCAGCGUGGUGAGACCAGAGGCAGUGGCAGUGACUGGGUGCCUGGAGUGGGAACUGUCUGGAGUGGGAACUGUCUUGAGAAGGAUAACUUAGGAGAUGGAUGAGCCUCGCUGAGGAUGUUCUGGACUCACACCGCGCUAGAUGGCUUGCUGUUCCAGAAGCUUCCUGCUUUAGAUGUAGACCUAACCCAGCCCCGAGCAGCUGAGAAACAACUGAGAGGCCCCUCUUGUCACAAAGGUGUCCUCUGACCCUCCUGUGAGCAAGCAGACAGAGCCCACCAUUUUUGGAAGAACCGGCUGUGCAGGUCUCGCCUCUUCUGUUAGCGAAGUCAGGGAGAGACUUUGCACAAGCCAGUAUACCGGAGCCAAGUUACAGGCAUAAUUGAAAACAUUUGUAAAAUAAACAGACUCUCUCUAUAUAUACAUAUAUUUAUAUAGACAGUUCUCUUGACAUUGAGCUUGAAACUGAAAUGUAUAUGAGGAUCAGGGAAAGAGAUCCUAUUUAGUUUUAAUUUGGGUGACUUGUAUUUUCCACCAAUAAAAGAAGACGUGUGUUUUUGUAGUUAAGGGCAUGCAAUCUUCAUAGUAUUGGAACACUGCUUUUCAAGGGGAGAGCUUAUUAAUAACUAACAACAACAACAACAAUAAUAAUGUUGUUAUAUAACAAUAACAAUAACAAUCAGUUAGAUACCUUUGUUCUGUUCUGGCUCUGACACUAGCAGUAGCUGUGUGACCUUGGCCAGAUCACUUAACCUUUCUUAAUUUUAAUUUCCUGCUCUGAAACCUAAGGCCAUUGGCAUGGGCCAGUGAGUCUCAAGCUGGCAUCCUCGACUCAUUAGAAAUCACAAAAGCAACUCAGUUGAAUUGAGAUUAACAUUCAAAAGAAAAAUAGAAUAAAAAGUGUUGCGAUGC